RNAcentral lists this ribosomal RNA (101 nucleotides) under Orthotrichum schimperi. Its description in RNAcentral is "partial 5.8S ribosomal RNA". It matches the Rfam family "5.8S ribosomal RNA", at positions 54 to 154 of the family's 154-position model. From Rfam's summary of the family: 5.8S ribosomal RNA (5.8S rRNA) is a component of the large subunit of the eukaryotic ribosome. It is transcribed by RNA polymerase I as part of the 45S precursor that also contains 18S and 28S rRNA. The record is from RNAcentral. Lineage: Eukaryota; Viridiplantae; Streptophyta; Bryopsida; Orthotrichales; Orthotrichaceae.
UGCGAUACGUAGUGUGAAUUGCAGAAUUCCGCGAAUCAUCGAGUCUUUGAACGCAAGUUGCGCCCGAGGCUUGUCCGAGGGCAUUUCCGCUAGAGCGUCAC